GCGCCUCUAGCUCAAUGGCAGAGCAACGGACUCUUAAUCCGCAGGUUCCGGGUUCGAAUCCCGGGGGGCGUACCA
This 75-nucleotide transfer RNA is filed under the name Acidimicrobiia bacterium. Its description in RNAcentral is "tRNA-Lys". It matches the Rfam family "tRNA". From Rfam's summary of the family: Transfer RNA (tRNA) molecules are approximately 80 nucleotides in length. Their secondary structure includes four short double-helical elements and three loops (D, anti-codon, and T loops). Lineage: Bacteria; Bacillati; Actinomycetota; Acidimicrobiia. The record is from RNAcentral.